This 757-nucleotide ribosomal RNA is filed under the name Salmonella enterica subsp. enterica serovar Rubislaw. Its description in RNAcentral is "partial 23S ribosomal RNA". It matches the Rfam family "Bacterial large subunit ribosomal RNA", at positions 622 to 1378 of the family's 2925-position model. The record is from RNAcentral. Lineage: Bacteria; Pseudomonadati; Pseudomonadota; Gammaproteobacteria; Enterobacterales; Enterobacteriaceae.
AGCGACUUAUAUUCUGUAGCAAGGUUAACCGAAUAGGGGAGCCGGAGGGAAACCGAGUCUUAAUUGGGCGUUAAGUUGCAGGGUAUAGACCCGAAACCCGGUGAUCUAGCCAUGGGCAGGUUGAAGGUUGGGUAACACUAACUGGAGGACCGAACCGACUAAUGUUGAAAAAUUAGCGGAUGACCUGUGGCUGGGGGUGAAAGGCCAAUCAAACCGGGAGAUAGCUGGUUCUCCCCGAAAGCUAUUUAGGUAGCGCCUCGUGAAUUCAUCUCCGGGGGUAGAGCACUGUUUCGGCUAGGGGGCCAUCCCGGCUUACCAACCCGAUGCAAACUGCGAAUACCGGAGAAUGUUAUCACGGGAGACACACGGCGGGUGCUAACGUCCGUCGUGAAGAGGGAAACAACCCAGACCGCCAGCUAAGGUCCCAAAGUCAUGGUUAAGUGGGAAACGAUGUGGGAAGGCCCAGACAGCCAGGAUGUUGGCUUAGAAGCAGCCAUCAUUUAAAGAAAGCGUAAUAGCUCACUGGUCGAGUCGGCCUGCGCGGAAGAUGUAACGGGGCUAAACCAUGCACCGAAGCUGCGGCAGCGACACUCAGGUGUUGUUGGGUAGGGGAGCGUUCUGUAAGCCUGCGAAGGUGGCCUGUGAGGGUUGCUGGAGGUAUCAGAAGUGCGAAUGCUGACAUAAGUAACGAUAAAGCGGGUGAAAAGCCCGCUCGCCGGAAGACCAAGGGUUCCUGUCCAACGUUAAUCGGGGCAGG